RNAcentral lists this transfer RNA (55 nucleotides) under Leptotrombidium akamushi. RNAcentral describes it as "tRNA-His". The record is from RNAcentral. Lineage: Eukaryota; Metazoa; Arthropoda; Arachnida; Trombidiformes; Trombiculidae.
CUUCUUUUAGUUUAUAAAAAAUAUCAAAUUGUGAUUUUGAGGAAUUUUAGGAAGA